UAUAGAUUUAUAGGCACAAAGGCCCAUUAAUUGCAUUCUAUAAACAUACAUCAGGGUAUAUAAAGAAACAUAGACCUGGAAAUGUAAGAAGAGACAUAAAGUCAAUCCUCAAUCCUGAGUGCUAAGCAAUCAGAGAGAUACCCAAGGUCUACAAAAGAUGCACAGGUGAAGAUACAAAGAUGACAAGUGUGCACCAUGCUCCCUAGAGAACCAGCAACAACUCAUCAAGUUUAUUUCAAUAAUGAUCCUUCCGCAGGUUCACCUACGGAAA
Molecule: unclassified non-coding RNA, 271 nt
Filed under: uncultured fungus
Lineage: Eukaryota; Fungi
Description: sequence contains ITS1
Source: RNAcentral